Molecule: ribosomal RNA, 253 nt
Filed under: uncultured bacterium
Lineage: Bacteria
Description: partial 16S ribosomal RNA
Rfam family: Bacterial small subunit ribosomal RNA
Source: RNAcentral
UACGUAGGCAGCAAGCGUUGUUCGGAAUUACUGGGCGUAAAGAGUGUGUAGGCGGCAUUGCAAGUAGGGUGUGAAAGCCCUCGGCUCAACCGAGGAAUUGCGCUCUAAACUGCAGUGCUUGAGGAACCUAGAGGUGAGCAGAACAGAUGGUGGAGCGGUGAAAUGCGUUGAUAUCAUCUGGAAUACCGGAGGCGAAGGCGGCUCACUGGGAGUUUUCUGACGCUGAGGAACGAAAGCCAGGGUAGCGAACGGG